This 433-nucleotide ribosomal RNA is filed under the name uncultured bacterium. RNAcentral describes it as "partial 16S ribosomal RNA". It matches the Rfam family "Bacterial small subunit ribosomal RNA", at positions 29 to 507 of the family's 1533-position model. The record is from RNAcentral.
AACGAACGCUGGCGGCAUGCCUAACACAUGCAAGUCGAACGAGACCUUCGGGUCUAGUGGCGCACGGUUGCGUAACGCGUGGGAACCUGCCCUUAGGGUCGGAAUAACUCUCCGAAAGGGGUGCUAAUACCGGAUAAGGUCUUCGGCCCAAAGAUUUAUCGACUUAGGAUGGGCCAGCGUUGCAUAAGGUGGUGGGUAGGGUAAAAGCCUACCAAGGCGACGAUCCAUAGAUGGUCUGAGAGGAUGAUCAGCCACACUGGGACUGAGAAGCGGCCCAGAAUCCUACGGGAGGCAGCAGUGGGUAACAUUGGACCAUGGGCGAAAGGCUGAUCCAGCAAUGCCGCGUGAGUGAUGAAAGCCUUAGGGUUGUAAAGCUCUUUUACCCGGGCUGAUAAUGACAGUACCGGGAGAAUAAGCUCCGGCUAACUCCGUG